GAUGAACGCUGGCGGCAUGCCUAACACAUGCAAGUCGAUCGGUAAGGCUCUUCGGAGUACACGAGAGGCGGACGGCUGAGUAACGCGUAGGAACACACCCUGCAGUGAGGGAUAAGACACCGAAAGGUGUUCUAAUACCGCAUACGGUCUUCGGAUUAAAGCAUUUAUGCGCUGAAGGAGUGGCCUGCGUCAUAUUAGAUAGUUGGUGAGGUAAUGGCUCACCAAGUCGAUGAUGUGUAGCUGGUCUGAGAGGAUGAUCAGCCAGACUGGAACUGAGACACGGUCCAGACUCCUACGGGAGGCAGCAGUGAGGAAUAUUUCACAAUGAGCGAAGGCUUGAUGGAGCAAUGCCGCGUGCAGGAUGAAGGCCCUCGGGUUGUAAACUGCUUUUAUAAGAGAAGAUUAUGACGGUAACUUAUGAAUAAGGGACGGCUAACUACGUG
Molecule: ribosomal RNA, 443 nt
Filed under: uncultured bacterium
Lineage: Bacteria
Description: partial 16S ribosomal RNA
Rfam family: Bacterial small subunit ribosomal RNA
Source: RNAcentral